UGCAAGUCGAACGGCAGCACGGGAGCUUGCUCCUGGUGGCGAGUGGCGAACGGGUGAGUAAUGCGUCGGAACGUACCGAGUAAUGGGGGAUAACGCAGCGAAAGUUGUGCUAAUACCGCAUACGCCCUGAGGGGGAAAGUGGGGGAUCGUAAGACCUCACGUUAUUCGAGCGGCCGACGUCUGAUUAGCUAGUUGGUGGGGUAAAGGCCUACCAAGGCGACGAUCAGUAGCGGGUCUGAGAGGAUGAUCCGCCACACUGGGACUGAGACACGGCCCAGACUCCUACGGGAGGCAGCAGUGGGGAAUUUUGGACAAUGGGGGCAACCCUGAUCCAGCCAUUCCGCGUGAGUGAAGAAGGCCUUCGGGUUGUAAAGCUCUUUCAGCUGGAACGAAACGGUACGCGCUAACAUCGUGUGCUAAUGACGGUACCAGCAGAAGAAGCACCGGCUAACUACGUGCCAGCAGCCGCGGUAAUACGUAGGGUGCGAGCGUUAAUCGGAAUUACUGGGCGUAAAGCGUGCGCAGGCGGAUUGUUAAGCAAGAUGUGAAAUCCCCGGGCUUAACCUGGGAAUGGCAUUUUGAACUGGCAGUCUAGAGUGCGUCAGAGGGGGGUGGAAUUCCACGUGUAGCAGUGAAAUGCGUAGAGAUGUGGAGGAACACCGAUGGCGAAGGCAGCCCCCUGGGAUGACACUGACGCUCAUGUACGAAAGCGUGGGUAGCAAACAGGAUUAGAUACCCUGGUAGUCCACGCCCUAAACGAUGUCAACUGGUUGUUGGGGGAGUGAAAUCCCUUAGUAACGAAGCUAACGCGUGAAGUUGACCGCCUGGGGAGUACGGUCGCAAGAUUAAAACUCAAAGGAAUUGACGGGGACCCGCACAAGCGGU
This 885-nucleotide ribosomal RNA is filed under the name uncultured soil bacterium. Its description in RNAcentral is "bacterial SSU rRNA". It matches the Rfam family "Bacterial small subunit ribosomal RNA", at positions 56 to 933 of the family's 1533-position model. The record is from RNAcentral.